GACGAACGCUGGCGGCGUGCUUAAUACAUGCAAGUCGAACGGAAAGGCGCGGCGUUUGUGGGGUUCUCGAGUGGCGAAGGGGGGAGUAAAACGUGAGUAAACUGCACUUGACUUUGUGGUAUCUUUAGGAAACUGGGGCUAUUAUCGGGGAGGAGCUACUGCUGCGUGGGGGGGGUUGGAAAGUGUCGGCGGUUGGGGAUGGACUCGCGGCUUAUGAGCUUGUUGGGGAGGUAGUGGCUUACGAAGGCUUUGACGGGUAGCCGGCAUGAGAGGUUGGCCGGCCACAUUGCGACUACGAGACGGCCCAGACGGCAACGGGAGGCAGCAGUGGGGAGUAUGGCACAAUGGGCGGAAGCCUGAUGCAGCAACGUUGCGUGCGGGAUGACCGCCUACGGGUUGUGAACCAAUUUCGCCUGUGCCGUACCGUGAGUGACGGUACUGGGUAAAGAAGCACCGGCUAACUACGUG
Molecule: ribosomal RNA, 468 nt
Filed under: uncultured bacterium
Lineage: Bacteria
Description: partial 16S ribosomal RNA
Rfam family: Bacterial small subunit ribosomal RNA
Source: RNAcentral